GAUGAACGCUGGCGGCGUGCUUAACACAUGCAAGUCGAACGGAAAGGCCCAAGCUUGCUUGGGUACUCGAGUGGCGAACGGGUGAGUAACACGUGGGUGAUCUGCCCUGCACUUCGGGAUAAGCCUGGGAAACUGGGUCUAAUACCGGAUAGGACCACAUUUUGGUUGGUGUGGUGGAAAGUUUUUCGGUGUGGGAUGAGCUCGCGGCCUAUCAGCUUGUUGGUGGGGUAAUGGCCUACCAAGGCGUCGACGGGUAGCCGGCCUGAGAGGGUGUACGGCCACAUUGGGACUGAGAGACGGCCCAGACUCCUACGGGAGGCAGCAGUGGGGAAUAUUGCACAAUGGGCGCAAGCCUGAUGCAGCGACGCCGCGUGGGGGAUGACGGCCUUCGGGUUGUAAACUCCUUUCGCUAGGGACGAAGCGUUAUGUGACGGUACCUGGAGAAGAAGCACCGGCUAACUACGUG
This 466-nucleotide ribosomal RNA is filed under the name uncultured bacterium. Its description in RNAcentral is "partial 16S ribosomal RNA". It matches the Rfam family "Bacterial small subunit ribosomal RNA", at positions 28 to 507 of the family's 1533-position model. The record is from RNAcentral.